Molecule: microRNA precursor, 50 nt
Filed under: Pongo abelii (Sumatran orangutan)
Lineage: Eukaryota; Metazoa; Chordata; Mammalia; Primates; Hominidae
Description: miRNA
Source: RNAcentral
AUUAUUCAUGAUAUCUUCCCAGAAUAUUAUGAAUAAUGUCACGGGGUGUA